AGGAUGGUGAGCUCAGAGAACCUUGAGAGAGGUGGGUACUGUGGUUGCACAGUUUCCUAGCUUUGGGGAAUUUCUAGUUUCCCUGAAUAGAGGUGCGAUCAAUACAGAAAGUCUUGAAAACUUGAGUAAAGGAAAGUCCGAGUAAAACCAAAGCUACUGUGGUGAAGGUAUCAGAAAAUCGAGGAAGAGCAAACAGUACAGCAUAAACUCACCACAAAAAAAGGUUGACUCUUCCCACUGUCAGUGACACCAUUCCUUAGGUGAGUGGUCUUGGGAUGUAUAAAAUAGCUAGCCAAGCAUGAGUAUGUGAGUGAGCCUGUGAGUGAGCCAGCAAGUGACUUUCCUCCAUGGGUCCUGCUUCAAGAUUUUGUUUAAAUUCUUGCUCUAACUUUCCCCAGUGAUGGACUGUGACUAGGAAAUAAAAAAAAUAAACCUUUUCCUCUACUAA
This is a long non-coding RNA of Peromyscus eremicus (cactus mouse), 448 nucleotides long. RefSeq lists it as uncharacterized. NCBI's taxonomy places the organism in Eukaryota, Metazoa, Chordata, Mammalia, Rodentia, Cricetidae. The transcript has 3 exons. The record is from RefSeq and is a predicted model, not a curated record.